AGCCUUUAGUCAACCCACUAUUAAAGGUGAUGCCUGCCCAGUGACUCAUUAAACGGCCGCGGGAUCCUCCACCGUGCAAAGGUAGCAUAAUCACUUGUCCUCUAAAUAAGGACUAGUAUGAAUGGCCACAUGAAGAUUUUCCUGUCUCUUGUAGAAAAUCUAUGAAACUGAUCUUUCAGUACAAAAGCUGACAUAAUUACACAAGACGAAAAGACCCUGUGGAACUUUAAACAAUAGCCAAAUAACAUGACUUCACUUGCUUUUAGUUGGGGCAACUAUGGAAAUAAACUAAACUUCCACAACAAUACACAGGUGGACACACCAAUACCCCCCUUCCCCGAUCCAGUACUUACUGAAAAAGAACCAAGCUACCCCAGGGAUAACAGCGCUAUCCCCUCUUAGAGCCCCCAUCGAUGAGGGGGUUUACGACCUCGAUGUUGGAUCAGGGCCCCCAAACAGUGCAACAGCUGUUAAAGGUUUGUUUGUUCAACAAUUAAUGCCCU
RNAcentral lists this ribosomal RNA (503 nucleotides) under Loxopholis southi. RNAcentral describes it as "partial 16S ribosomal RNA". It matches the Rfam family "Bacterial large subunit ribosomal RNA", at positions 1817 to 2597 of the family's 2925-position model. The record is from RNAcentral. Lineage: Eukaryota; Metazoa; Chordata; Lepidosauria; Squamata; Gymnophthalmidae.